This 594-nucleotide long non-coding RNA is filed under the name Pan troglodytes (chimpanzee). RNAcentral describes it as "long non-coding RNA NONPTRT008333". The record is from RNAcentral. Lineage: Eukaryota; Metazoa; Chordata; Mammalia; Primates; Hominidae.
CACCAACAUCCACACCAACACCCGCACACCAACAUCUGCACAGCAACACCUGCACACCAACACCUGUACACUAACACCUGCACACCAACACCCACACCAACACCUGCACACCAACGUCCACACCAGCACCUGCACACCAACGUCCACACCACCUGCACACCAAUAUCCACACCAACACCUGCACACCAAUAUCCACACCAACACCUGCACACCAAUGUCCACACCAACACCUGCACACCAAUAUCCACACCAACACCUGCACACCAACGUCCACACCAACACCUGCACACCAACACCUGCACACCAACGUCCACACCAGCACCUGCACACCAACGUCCACACCAACACCUGCACACCAACAUCCACACCAACACCUGCACACCAAUAUCCACACCAACACCUGCACACCAAUGUCCACACCAACACCUGCACACCAAUAUCCACACCAACACCUGCACACCAACGUCCACACCAACACCUGCACACCAACACCUGCACACCAACGUCCACACCAACACCUGCACACCAACGUCCACACCAACACCUGCACACCAACGUCCACACCAACACCUGCACACCAAUAUCCACACCAAC